This 1161-nucleotide long non-coding RNA is filed under the name Fukomys damarensis (Damara mole-rat). RNAcentral's name for it is "lncRNA (ENSFDAG00000032581.1)". The record is from RNAcentral. Lineage: Eukaryota; Metazoa; Chordata; Mammalia; Rodentia; Bathyergidae.
GGGCUGUGGGGAAGGGACGGCAUGGCUCGUGAGACAUCCGAGAUGCGCUCUUCUGGACUGGCUGUGUUGAGGCAGGAAAUAGAAAUUUUAAAAAAGAAAUAAACAAGAGUGAGGCAAAUUGUUUGUUUCAAAUAGUAGCAGGCACUCAGCAAACAAGCAAGCCUAACUGAAUGCUUUGGCGAUUAUACAGACAAACAAAUCACUUUCCCAAAGUGCUUCUUGGGGGAAUUACGGCUCCUGGAAAUGAAACACAAACAGAUUAUUAAAAAAGAGCUCCCCGUUGGGAGAGAAACAGUAUUUACAAGAGAAGAUGUGCCUAGCUGGACCUCUAAUUGCCGUUCAUUAUCUCAUAUUGAUUUAAUUAGCUGCAGCACUCAGGUCUGAAUCGCCUGCUGCCCGCAGCAGGGGCCCGGCGGGGAGAGGAGGUUCACACUGACCACGCAGCCUCUCCCAUCGCUCACCCUGGCCUGCUUUCCCUGGAACACGGGUCAGCUCACGGGCCGUCCUUGUGGCAGCGAGGUGGUGGCCGUUGGCCGAAGGCGGCCCAGCCACAUCCGCUGCCUCAUGGGCAGCUCUGUCUCGCACACGCGUCCGCUGGGGUGGCAGCGCGAGCUAAUUAGCCGCAGUAAUUAGAGAGAGUGUCUUCAUAAUGCGGAAUUAGAGUGGCUUGGUGAAAGCAGGGAGAUAUAUGGCGCAGGCUGGCGGUGGUGAUGGAGGAGAAGCGAGCGGGGAGAGGACGAGGCUGCUCCCAGGUGUCCUUUGGCCUCCCGCUGUGACCCUUCCGCCCCUCCUCAGGGUCCCCACUCUGGUGUCAAGCGAUUCAGCCAUUUAUGGCCUCCCCAUCCCUCAGUGACCCAGAGACCUCCAACAGAGCAGAUAUUUCCAGACAGGAAGAACUGUGUCCGAGAGCAGCCUGGUGCCCUGGCUUCUGCAGAGAGCACAUGGAGGGGCCCUAAGAGUCUCUGUCUCCCGCUGUCCCCCCUCCUUGCCCCCGUCCAACACGUGAGAAAACAGCCGAGAUUCUGGAUUAAUUGCUCUCUUCAUUACUGGUUCAUCAUAUCCAACACCUGCUACGGAAAAGAGGGGCAAUUUAUUUUGGCUCCCACCUUCAGAGUCCUCAGUCUGUGUCCAGGAAGCAUUAACUCAGAAGCCGCACGGUGA